Molecule: non-coding RNA, 30 nt
Filed under: Mus musculus (house mouse)
Lineage: Eukaryota; Metazoa; Chordata; Mammalia; Rodentia; Muridae
Source: RNAcentral
UAUAUAUUGUCUUUGAUCCCCCUUCCACUC